RNAcentral lists this transfer RNA (72 nucleotides) under Trichomalopsis sarcophagae. RNAcentral describes it as "tRNA-OTHER". The record is from RNAcentral. Lineage: Eukaryota; Metazoa; Arthropoda; Insecta; Hymenoptera; Pteromalidae.
UAGACGUUAGCUCCGUGGUUAGAGCACAGGCCUGUGGCUCUCGGGCCUGCGAGUUCGAGUCUCGUCGUCUAG